AAAAAUAAAAAAAAUAAAAAAAAAUCUUCUUUUUAUAUAUGCCAUAUCUACUUGAACUAAAAUUCCAUUUAGAAAAAGUAAAGAUAAAAACAUACAGAAUUUAUAUGAACCAUGAACAAUUUAAAAAUCAGCUAUUCAAUUUUUUAAUUGAUUCACAUUUUCAGCUAAAUUUAUUUCUUAAUGAAAUAAAACGAAGCUGGUAGCGUGCUACCUAUCUCUCAAAAACUACAGAUCUAGUAAUAGCUUUCUUAACCCAAAAAAAAAAAAAAAUCUUCUUUUUAUAUAUGCCAUCUACUUGAACUGAAAUUCCAUUUAGAAAAAGUAAAGAUAAAAACAUACCGAAUUUAUACGAACCAUGAAUAUUUUUGAAUCAGCUAUUCAAUUUUUUGAAAAUUUGAUUUUACUACCUAAUCUUUUAAUUUGUUUGAUUUAACUUAGUCAACGAUAUUUUGACUUUAAAAUUUAAAUUAAUUAUUCACUUUAAAAAUUUUAUAGUUGCGAGAAUUGCAUGACGUAUUGUAAAGAUAAAUUUCACAUUCAACUUUUGAAGUUAAGAGUGUCGUUGCAUUCAACUUUUAAAGUUAGAGUGUUGUUGACUAACUUAAAUCGAACAAACUGAAAUAGUAAAAUCAAAAUUUUAAAAAAUUAGAUUACCAACUAAAAAUAGUCCAUAAUUUGGAUGAGUUCUAUAAAUUUUUACUAAAGUGAAAACCUUGCCAAAUAUAGGCCUUUGUGAAAUAGAGCUCUCAAUUUACUUAUUUUUGUUUACACAAGAAUCCUUUAACUUCUGAUUUUUUUCAUUUGUUUACAUAAUUUUAGUCAAUUAAAAUAGAAAUUUAUUCAUUGCUAAUUCGAUUAAAUUUAACCGUUGCAACCACCUUUUAGCCCAAAGACAUAUUAAUUAUAUAAAAUAUUUAAAUAUUAUUCUCCACCAGCUUAAACUUAUAAAGAAUAAUAAUAAUUUCGUAUUAUUUAACAUAAUAUCAGAGCAGGAGGUCAUGAAUUCAAGUCACGCUACACACUUCUAUUAUUAUUAAUUCCCUUUCAUUUAAUUCAAGUUCACAUCACGGACCUAGCAAAAAAUGUUUUAUUUAUUUCACAAGAUAUAUUUUUCCUUUAAAAUUUUUAAAUUUGGUACCCAAAAAC
This 1146-nucleotide long non-coding RNA is filed under the name Ananas comosus (pineapple). RNAcentral's name for it is "long non-coding RNA (ACOM_LNC014074)". The record is from RNAcentral. Lineage: Eukaryota; Viridiplantae; Streptophyta; Magnoliopsida; Poales; Bromeliaceae.